This 497-nucleotide ribosomal RNA is filed under the name uncultured bacterium. RNAcentral describes it as "partial 16S ribosomal RNA". It matches the Rfam family "Bacterial small subunit ribosomal RNA", at positions 28 to 507 of the family's 1533-position model. The record is from RNAcentral.
GAUGAACGCUGGCGGCGUGCCUAAUACAUGCAAGUCGAGCGAACAGACGAGGAGCUUGCUCCUCUGACGUUAGCGGCGGACGGGUGAGUAACACGUGGAUAACCUACCUAUAAGACUGGGAUAACUUCGGGAAACCGGAGCUAAUACCGGAUAAUAUAUUGAACCGCAUGGUUCAAUAGUGAAAGACGGUUUUGCUGUCACUUAUAGAUGGAUCCGCGCCGCAUUAGCUAGUUGGUAAGGUAACGGCUUACCAAGGCAACGAUGCGUAGCCGACCUGAGAGGGUGAUCGGCCACACUGGAGCUGAGACACGGUCCAGACUCCUACGGGAGGCAGCAGUAGGGAAUCUUCCGCAAUGGGCGAAAGCCUGACGGAGCAACGCCGCGUGAGUGAUGAAGGUCUUCGGAUCGUAAAACUCUGUUAUUAGGGAAGAACAAAUGUGUAAGUAACUAUGCACGUCUUGACGGUACCUAGUCAGAAAGCCACGGCUAACUACGUG